This 158-nucleotide ribosomal RNA is filed under the name Tomentellopsis submollis. RNAcentral describes it as "5.8S ribosomal RNA". It matches the Rfam family "5.8S ribosomal RNA". From Rfam's summary of the family: 5.8S ribosomal RNA (5.8S rRNA) is a component of the large subunit of the eukaryotic ribosome. It is transcribed by RNA polymerase I as part of the 45S precursor that also contains 18S and 28S rRNA. Functionally, it is thought that 5.8S rRNA may be involved in ribosome translocation. Lineage: Eukaryota; Fungi; Basidiomycota; Agaricomycetes; Thelephorales; Thelephoraceae. The record is from RNAcentral.
GUGACAAAUACAACUUUCAACAACGGAUCUCUUGGCUCUCGCAUCGAUGAAGAACGCAGCGAAAUGCGAUAAGUAAUGUGAAUUGCAGAAUUCAGUGAAUCAUCGAAUCUUUGAACGCACCUUGCGCUCCUUGGUAUUCCGAGGAGCAUGCCUGUUUG